GACGAACGCUGGCGGCGUGCUUAACACAUGCAAGUCGAACGAAGUGGCGAACGGGUGAGUAACGCGUAAUCAACCUGCCCUUCAGAGGGGGACAACAGUUGGAAACGACUGCUAAUACCGCAUACUGAAGGAGGGGAUUGCGUCUGAUUAGCUAGUUGGGGGGGUAACGGCCCACCAAGGCGAUGAUCAGUAGCCGGUCCGAGCGGAAGGACCGCCACAUUGGGAAUGGGGCACGGCCCCAGAUUCUACGGGAGGCAGCAGUGGGGAAUCUUUCGCAAUGGACGAAAGUCUGACGGCGCAACGCCGCGUGAGGGAUGGCGGCCUUCGGGUUGUAAAGCUCUGUUAAUCGGGACGCGGUACCGGAAUAGAAAGCCACGGCUAACUCCGUGCCAGCAGCCGCGGUAAUUC
RNAcentral lists this ribosomal RNA (408 nucleotides) under uncultured bacterium. RNAcentral describes it as "partial 16S ribosomal RNA". It matches the Rfam family "Bacterial small subunit ribosomal RNA", at positions 28 to 526 of the family's 1533-position model. The record is from RNAcentral.